Molecule: ribosomal RNA, 496 nt
Filed under: uncultured bacterium
Lineage: Bacteria
Description: partial 16S ribosomal RNA
Rfam family: Bacterial small subunit ribosomal RNA
Source: RNAcentral
GAUGAACGCUGGCGGCGUGCCUAAUACAUGCAAGUCGAGCGAACAGACGAGGAGCUUGCUCCUCUGACGUUAGCGGCGGACGGGUGAGUAACACGUGGAUAACCUACCUAUAAGACUGGGAUAACUUCGGGAAACCGGAGCUAAUACCGGAUAAUAUAUUGAACCGCAUGGUUCAAUAGUGAAAGACGGUUUUGCUGUCACUUAUAGAUGGAUCCGCGCCGCAUUAGCUAGUUGGUAAGGUAACGGCUUACCAAGGCAACGAUGCGUAGCCGACCUGAGAGGGGGAUCGCCCACACUGGAACUGAGACAGGGUCCAAACCCCAACGGGAGGCAGCAGUAGGGAAUCUUCCGCAAGGGGCGAAAGCCUGACGGAGCAACGCCGCGUGGGUGAUGAAGGGCUUCGGAUCGUAAAACUCUGUUAUUAGGGAAAAAAAAAUGUGAAAGUAACUAUCCACGUUUUGACGGUACCUAAGAAAAAAGCCCCGGCUAACUCCGU